RNAcentral lists this non-coding RNA (148 nucleotides) under Homo sapiens (human). The record is from Rfam by way of RNAcentral. Lineage: Eukaryota; Metazoa; Chordata; Mammalia; Primates; Hominidae.
GCCGGGUGUGGUGGCGGACACCUGUAAUCCCAGCUACUUGGGAGGCUGAGGCAGGAGAAUCGCUUGAACCUGGGAGGCGGAGGUUGCAGUGAGCCAAGAUCGCGCCAUUGCACCCCAGCCUAGGUGACAGAGCAAGACUCUGUCUCAA